AUGACCCUUGCAUUAAAAAGAACAAAACCAAACCAAACCAUAAUCUUAAAUGUAAAUGGAGUAUUGCCUGCUUUAGGAAAGCCGCUGCAGGACCGUGGAGGUCUUGCGUUCCGUCCCGUCCCCGAGCCCGGUGCCCCGCGCUCCUGCCGCGGCCGAGCUGCUCCCGCCGCCAGCCCAGCUGGAUCCGGCCCCCGCAGCCGGCAGCGGCCGGCGUGGGAAGGGGGUUUCCGUGGCGGCCGGACGCUCCCGCUGACGGCAGCUCCCGCGUGCGCUGGCUGGCGAGGCGAGGCGAGGCGAGGCGCGGCCGGGCGGCCUCCCGGCCCCGGCGGGAAGGAGACCCGACAGCGGCAGCGGUCACGCGGGCAGCUCGCCGGCGACGGGGGCGCAGCACGUCUGGGGCUGCCGGGAUGGACCCCGCACGGGCAGUGCCUCGGGGAGCGCCUCCCCGGCCGGGCUGCUCCUCCCGGCAGCGCGGCCCUCCCGCCGCGGCAGCCGGCUCCGGGCCGGCGGGAUGCCCUCUGGGCGCUCGUAUCCCGCCUCCGAGCCCGGGCGGCCACGCGGGUCGCGGGAGUAAUCCUGCGAGAAGCAACCCCCACGGGGGCGUUCUUAAUUUGGGCGAGGUCUGCGGUCGGGGCGGCCGCCCGGGGCACGCGAGCGGGAGCGCGGGGCCUGGUGCCCACGGCGGCCAUGGCCUCGUGGCCCUGCUGCGGCAGCCGGGCCCGGGCGGCCCCUCGCCCCGCCGGGCUCCGGGCCUGGCUCGCGCUGCGCCCGCGCCUCCCCUGCGCCUCCCCCGCGAAACCGAGAGCCUUUAGCAGCGGCCGAGGGGCACGCGCGGAUCCUGCGGCGAGGGAAGGGGGCGUUAUGCGGUGCCCGCGGGAUGAAAAGUGUAAUUGUAGCUCAGCUAUCUGCUGUGCGCCUACUUUGGGCAAGAAGUGCCUAGACGUGAGCAAGUGCUGGCUCCCUCCCCUGGGACAACAGGGCUGGAUUGCCUCCCAGCAAGGAAGGGUUUUCCCUUAUUUACUGCCUUAA
Molecule: long non-coding RNA, 1029 nt
Filed under: Apteryx haastii (Great spotted kiwi)
Lineage: Eukaryota; Metazoa; Chordata; Aves; Apterygiformes; Apterygidae
Description: lncRNA (ENSAHAG00000002801.1)
Source: RNAcentral